AUAUAUUAAGCUGUUAGCAGUGUUCAAUAAAUGAAACUUGCUGAUUCUCAUAUUGAGCGUCUCUCUCUUCCCUCGUCACGACAGAUGUGAGUGGUGUGACA
This is a long non-coding RNA of Chiroxiphia lanceolata (lance-tailed manakin), 101 nucleotides long. RefSeq lists it as uncharacterized. The record is from RefSeq and is a predicted model, not a curated record. NCBI's taxonomy places the organism in Eukaryota, Metazoa, Chordata, Aves, Passeriformes, Pipridae. The transcript has 3 exons.